Long non-coding RNA from Harpegnathos saltator (Jerdon's jumping ant), 393 nucleotides. RefSeq lists it as uncharacterized. The record is from RefSeq and is a predicted model, not a curated record. The transcript has 3 exons. NCBI's taxonomy places the organism in Eukaryota, Metazoa, Arthropoda, Insecta, Hymenoptera, Formicidae.
AACGUCCUCUGCUGAAUCACACGUUUUAUCUUUUUUGUGGUUUGCAGGAAAUAAAGUGUGCUUAAGAGAUGUUGCACAAAGAUUUGGAGUAUGCGCUACAACGAUUUUUCGACAAAAUAAAAAAUGAUGGAUUUUCUAUGCGAUAUAGCUGAAACGUCAUCAAAUUUUCUGACAAAGAAAAUACUGCAAACGAAUUCCUUCAAAUUGCAGGAUUUCCGAAAGUUCUUGGCUGUAUUGAUGGGACUUUCAUUAAAGUCCGAACGCCAGCCCACAAAAUAAAAUCGACAUAUGUAAAUAGACAUGACAUCCCUUCGAUAACAUUGCAGGGCAUAUGUGAUGCUCGAAAGAGAUUUAUAGAUACAUUUACAGGAAUCCCGUCGAAAAUUCACGAUG